UUCUAAUAGAAUUUAUUAUUAGUAAAAUCUGCUCAAUGAACAUUUCAAUAGCCGCAAUUUAUUUGUGCUAAGGUAGCAUAAUCAUUUGUCUUUUAAUUAAAGACUAGAACGAAAGAUUUAACAUUUAAAUUUCUAUUAAAUAAAUCAAAUUUAAAUUUAUUUUAAAUAUAAAAAAAUAUUUAUAUUUAAAAAAGACGAUAAGACCCUAUUAAACUUAACUUAUGUUAAACUGGGGAAGUCAAUUAAUUAUAAUUUUAAUCAUUUUUACAUAAAAUUUAUAGACCUAAUAUAAUUAAUUAUAAGAACAAGUUACUAUAGGGAUAACAGCGUAAUAAUUUUUUAAAGAUCUUAUAUUUAAAAUAAUUUACGACCUCGAUGUUGAAUAAUAUUCUAUUAUAAUGCAAUAAUUUAAUAAGAAAGUCUGUUCGACUUUUAAUAAAUUACA
RNAcentral lists this ribosomal RNA (445 nucleotides) under Myro sp. CG160. RNAcentral's name for it is "partial 16S ribosomal RNA". The record is from RNAcentral. Lineage: Eukaryota; Metazoa; Arthropoda; Arachnida; Araneae; Toxopidae.